GGCUGGGAGGCCAGGGGUGCUGGCGGGGAGGCCACGCAGAUGGUGUGCAAGACCACUCUCCCACACACACCCAGGGACUCACACACAGACACGGUUACCCAGAC
Lynx canadensis (Canada lynx) is the source of this 104-nucleotide long non-coding RNA. RefSeq lists it as uncharacterized. The record is from RefSeq and is a predicted model, not a curated record. The transcript has 3 exons. NCBI's taxonomy places the organism in Eukaryota, Metazoa, Chordata, Mammalia, Carnivora, Felidae.